RNAcentral lists this transfer RNA (68 nucleotides) under Potamyia chinensis. RNAcentral's name for it is "tRNA-Trp". The record is from RNAcentral. Lineage: Eukaryota; Metazoa; Arthropoda; Insecta; Trichoptera; Hydropsychidae.
AAGAUUUUAAGUUAAAAAAACUAUUAAUUUUCAAAAUUAAUUUUAAAGACCCUUAUCUUUAAAUCUUA